RNAcentral lists this ribosomal RNA (341 nucleotides) under uncultured Pseudomonadota bacterium. RNAcentral describes it as "bacterial SSU rRNA". It matches the Rfam family "Bacterial small subunit ribosomal RNA", at positions 29 to 351 of the family's 1533-position model. The record is from RNAcentral. Lineage: Bacteria; Pseudomonadati; Pseudomonadota.
AAUGAACGCUGGCGGCGUGCAUAACACAUGCAAGUCGAACGAGAAACCCCGGCUUGCCGGGGGAGUAAAGUGGCGCACGGGUGAGUAACGCGUGGGUAACCUACCCUUUAAUCUGGAAUAACUUCGCGAAAGCGUUGCUAAUACCGGAUAUUGUCCUUAGGGCUGUGGCCUUUAGGAUGAAAGGUGACCUCUUCAUGAAAGUUGCCGUUAAGGGAUGGGCUCGCGUACCAUUAGCUAGUUGGUAGGGUAAUAGCCUACCAAGGCGAUGAUGGUUAGCUGGUCUGAGAGGAUGAUCAGCCACACUGGAACUGAAACACGGUCCAGACUCCUACGGGUGGCAG